RNAcentral lists this long non-coding RNA (3064 nucleotides) under Macaca mulatta (Rhesus monkey). RNAcentral's name for it is "lncRNA (ENSMMUG00000053862.1)". The record is from RNAcentral. Lineage: Eukaryota; Metazoa; Chordata; Mammalia; Primates; Cercopithecidae.
AUGAAGCCUAGAUCCACUUCUUUAUUAUAUUUUUGGAGAACAAGAAUCUUUGUCUGGAAAUUCCACAAGUAUGCCUUCUGCAAGAUUAAAAGUGCCACAAAGAACAAAAAUGAGCCCAGAACCAGAUGCGUGCUAGAAGACAUCAGACAUGUUAAGUUUCAUCUCCAUUGACCUGGUAAGCCUGCUAGUAUAAAUAUACUUUUCCCUCUUUACAUAUUAUCAGCAGUAGAAAGUACAUGGCAGGUUUAGGAGAGCCAGGUAGAAUAUGGGUUUGAGUUCUGACUCCACCAGCUCAGCACCCUUGUGACCUGCAUGUUAGUUAAUGAGUGUUUAGAACGUGAACGUUUACAUUUUAUGCUUAGGACAAGUAGCUGAGGGGAGGAGGGGUCAGAACUACGGGAGCAACUCCCCUUUAGCACUUGCCAUUAGAGCAGGGCCUUUGUAAUAAUUGGAAGUUAAUAGGCCGAUGUGGCUGUGGUGAAGCCCUGGUGCAAUCCAUGCUAUUGGGGAUGGGGAGACUGGGACCCACGUGGGAAAUGGAAACAUAACAACAAACGUGGAGCACUUCCAGUGUUCCACCUUACAUACACUCAUCUGUGGCAGCAGGCUAUUAAGGUAGAUACUAUCUUCAUCAUCUUUAUUUUACACAUCUAGAAAUCGAAUCACUGCUAGGUAAAGUAAUUUGCCUGAGAUGAUGCAGCCAUGGUGACAGAGCUGGGAUUUGAACAGAGCCUGGCUUUAGCCUCCGUUUAAUAAACUUCACACCAAAUAUUUCUCCCAGAUCAGGAAGCCACAGCAUGCUGCUUUUUUGGGCUUCCUCUGCAACAGGCUCUGGGGUACAGGUCCUGCUCUCUUAUGAGUCCCAGACUGCUUUCUUAUGGAUGAAAUGCGAAUGCUGAUGUCUGCUUUAAAUUGUUAGUGGGACGAAUGUCUGCAAAGAGUUGCUGCUCAGUGAAGGAGAAAAAACAAACAAACAAACAAACAAAAAAGCUUUCGAGCUACUUUGAGAUACUUUAAGAGAUAUUAAAAAAAGUUAAUAGUCUGAAUAAAUUCAGUAGCAAAACCCAGAAGUUUCCACACCUAGAAUUUCUUUGCUUAAACUUCAUCUUUCUUGCCUUUAUUCUCCUCAGUAUAAAUUGUCUUAAGUUUUUUUUCUGAUUCUGGAGCACGCCAAGUCUCACUAAUGCAGGCCUCCACAACAACGAUUUCAGUACUGACCAAGUGGUUAAGUUAAAAGCCAGUGCCCUUAUACAAAGGCUGGGAUGUAACAAAAGCCCAUCCAGAGUUUUGCCUAGGCCUUUCCUGGGCCUUAAAGCAUGACAAAAUAAUGAAGGAAUCCUUAACAGGACCCAGUUAGGGUUAAACAAGUUUUAUUGUGGAUCUGAAGAAACUCCCCAGGCCUCCACAAAAGUUUAUUGGGGGUCUGAAAGAACUCCCUAAACCUCUGUGAUUUAGCAGGAGACAAGAUAAGGACAAUUACUCCAGCACCUGGGCCUAUUCAGAUUAAGUAAAUUUACUGAGGCUCCAGAGGAAGGUCUUUAGGACUCAGACCUUAGUGGUAGCUUAAAAGAAGUUAAUCACUUAUGUCUUGAGAUGAAUGCACACUUACAUGUAGACCUGUAGCUUAGAAGGUGUAUAAGCUCUGGAAAACUUGGUAAUUUUGAGUGGGUCUGGUGAUCAUUUCCAGGCCUUCUCCCUGUUACAGGUUGCAGAAAUAAAAACUCUCUUCCUCCCUAGUUUAUCUGCAUUUCAUUAUUGGGCCAUGAGAAAUAGCAGCCCGGCCCUCAGUUUGGUCUGGGAACAAUUCCUAAAGUAAAAUAUUUUCAUUGUAAAAAAAAUCAGAUAAUCAGAAAAAUAUAAAGAAGUGGAAAUUCCCUGUAAUUCUACUGCUAAGAGAAAAAGGCUGUGAAAAUUUCACUGUAUAUCCUUAGACUUUUCCCCAUGCAUUUAUACAUUUAUAGGCACACACACACACACACACGUAAAACUGGGAGAAAGUGGACAAAUUGCCUUUUUUACUUAAUAUAAUGUGGACAUUUUCCCAUGCCAAUGAAUAUAGUUCUCCGUCUUCUCAUAAAAAAUUAAAUUUUUAAUUUCUGUGAGUACAUAGUAGGUGUAUAUAUUUAUGGGGUACAUGAGAUACUUUGAUACAGGCAUGCAAUGUGUAAUAAUCACAUCAAGGUACGUGGGGUAUCCAUUACUUCAAGCAUUUAUCCUUUGUGUUACAAAAAAAAAUCAAUUUUACUCUUAGUUGUUUUAAAAUGUACAAUUAAAUAAUGAUUGACUAUGGUCAGCCUGUUGUGCUAUGAAAUACUAGAUCUUAUUUAUUCUUUCUAUUUUUUUGUAUCCAUCAGCCAUCCUCACUUCCCCUUCCUCCAACUCCCCCACUACCCUUUUCAGCCUCUGGAAACCAUCAUUAUACUAUCUCCAUGAGUUCAAAUGUUUCCAUUUUUAGCUCCCACACAUAUGUGAGAACAUGGAAAGUUUGUCUUUCUGUGUGUGGCUUAGUUUGCUUAACAUAAUGACCUCUCGUCCCAUCCAUGUUGCUGAAAAUGACAGGAUCUCCUUUUUUAUGGCUGAAUAGUACUCCACGUGUACAUGUAAAAAAUUUUCUUUAUCAUUUAUCUGUUGAUGGAUAGUUAGGUUGCUUCCAAAUCUUGGCUAUUGUGAAUAGCACUGUAAUAAAUAUGGGAGUGCAGACAUCCUUUCAACAUACCGGUUGCCUUUGUUAUGGGUAUACACCUAGCAGUGGCACUGCCGGAUCACAUGAUAGCUCUACUUUUAGUUUUCUUGAGGAAACUUCAAACUGUUCACCAUUGUGGUUGUACUAAUUUACAUUCCCAUUAACAGUGUACAAGGGUUCCCUUUUCUCCACAUCCUUACCAGCAUUUGUCAUUGCCUGUCUUUUGGAUAAAAGGCAUUUUAACUAGGAUGAAAUGAUAUCUCAUUGUUGUUUUGAUUUGCAUUUCUCUGAUGAUCAAUAAUGUUGAGCACUUUUUCAUAUACCUGUCUGCCCUUUGCAUAUCUUUUUAUUUUGAGAAAUGUCUAUUCAGAUCUUUUGUCC